CCUAUCGAUGGCCCGUCGCUAAAACUGGUGUAGUGGCGACUAUUGGGUCUGGUUCGCCACCCUUUGUUGCCUUAAGAGCUGAUAUGGAUGCUCUGCCUAUCCAGGUCUGUUCUGUUUCCGUAAAUAUAAAAUUGAAUUAUAUACCCAUAAGGAGUACCUGAAGUGAAAUGCGACGAUCUUUGUAAGAUCAGGUUUCAUCGCUUGAAAAGAAUUUUACAGAGAGUUCAAGCUCUGAUUUAUGUAAGGUCAGAGUUUGAUCCGUUGAAAAACACUUACAGAGAAGGGUAGCCUAAAAAUAGAUUAGUCCUUAUGUCAAAAAGGGUAUGGAAUAGUUAUUGAAAAUUCAAAAAUAUAAAAUUAUAUACGAAUUUGGUGGGGAAUUCAAUUUAAGUUAUUUGUCUUGUGAGUGAUUUGGGAUUAAUGUUUUGUUGUCAUUAUUGUUAUUGUUGUUUGAUACGAAAUUUAAUUGUCUGGUUGAUUUUCAUAAACACCACUAAAUUACAAAAAGUUAUGCUAAUAUAUAGGAAUUGACUGAAUGGGAGCACAAGAGUAAAGUAGAUGGGAAAAUGCAUGCCUGUGGCCAUGAUGGACAUGUCGCAAUGCUUCUUGGAGCAGCUAAAAUCCUGCAAGAAUUAAGACAUAUGUUGCAGGUAAUUAAAAGUUUGUAUUU
RNAcentral lists this long non-coding RNA (670 nucleotides) under Jatropha curcas. RNAcentral's name for it is "long non-coding RNA (JCUR_LNC003354)". Lineage: Eukaryota; Viridiplantae; Streptophyta; Magnoliopsida; Malpighiales; Euphorbiaceae. The record is from RNAcentral.